Molecule: long non-coding RNA, 2616 nt
Organism: Gracilinanus agilis (Agile Gracile Mouse Opossum)
Lineage: Eukaryota; Metazoa; Chordata; Mammalia; Didelphimorphia; Didelphidae
Exons: 3
Source: RefSeq, a predicted model, not a curated record
CUGCACACAGGCAGAUGCAGACUCGAGGGGAGCCCCUUGGGGAGGGGAAACAGAAACCUCGUGGAGGGAAAGAAAAGACGGAGCUGGAACCAUCGGGGGGGGCAUCUCAGCCUUUUUUCUCUUGUGAAACCCUCCCCAGUGAGCCCCCAGAGGACAGAAUCGUGUGAGCCUCUGGGAAGGCCGGCCUCGUCCCCCCCCAACCUGCGGCAUUUGUUGCCUCCCUCUAAAACAGGUCUGAGUCCCCCCCUGUCCCCGCCGUCAAAAACCGACUCCAGCAAACGGGCCUGAGCCAGGCCGGCGCGGUGGGCGCCCCCCCGCCGCCUCGGUUCAUCCCGUACGUGCGCACCAACGACGUGUACUGCCUGGACGUGGACGCGGCGCAGCCCCAGCGUCCCAGCGAUGGCGACUGCCCGGAGCUGCUCGUGGGCUCGGGCCAGGCCCGAGAUCCGCUCCUCAACCCCAGCCUGGUGAGGAACAGAGACCGGCAGCAGGCGAUCCUCAAGGGACUGUCCGACCUGCGCCAGAUGAGGAAACUGAGGCAAACUAUGUUGCCAACACACUUGCCCAGGACGGUCUGACGCCCAGAGCUCUUAGCUGAGUCCCCUCCGCUGCCCCCAGCAAAUCCAGUGAAAUUCCAUUAAGAUGAUUCAAACGGAAAAACGGCGUGUUAAGUUAUCUAAAUAUUCAACCCAAAUACAGUCAUGACUCAGCUGAAAUAUUCAUUCAAACAGGAUUUUAUUCGCUGUAAAAGUUACAUUUUUUUAAAAGUUGGAAUCAUUUUAGAAAAUCAAUUGUACAACAAGCGUCAUUGCAACACAGACAACAGGGAGAUGCAGAGCGACGACAGGUCGCACCAAACCUCACCAAACCUGCCUCUCCCUCCUCGGCCAACAGGAAGUGGGCCGCCCCCUCCCCCAUCCCGGACCUCUGCCCGCCCUCCCUGCAGGCAGCCAAGUCAGCUCCAGCUGGACUAGCCUUUGUUCAGACUGGACUUGGUUCUGAUUUGGUUCACUAACGUUCUCUGAGUAAAGCUUCACUAAACGUAUUUAAAAAAAAAGAAAAAGAAAAGAAACGUUUUUAAAAAGAAUCUGCCACAGGCUGCAGCACGUGGAUCAGGAAUGGCAUGAAGGGCUUCGGCAGCCCCAAACUACCUUUUAGGUUAUUUGUUUCAACUCCUCAGAGUAAGGGGUGACUCUGGAAGCUCCUUAGAAAUGGCUCAUUUCCUUAUAAGCAGCUUUACAAAUAGCAGCUGUGGCUUCCUCACAGGGUGGAAGGUCUUAUGGGAAAUGGCAAAACCAAUUCACUUCCAGUUUGAUGGAGACAAAAAAAAAAAAAAAAGGGGGGGGGGGGGGGGCAGGACAGACCUGAUGCAUCCAAGGCCAGUUUGGUAGUCCUGCCUGUCUAGGGAGCGCCCACAUCUUCCUUUAGGGGGAAUUUUUAGCCACCAAAAAGGCAAAUUUCAACACCCCCCCACUCUCAACCCACUUUCAUUCUCAUUCGCCAUCUCUAAGUAACAGAUUCCAGUUUCAAGCAGAAAAAAGACCCAAUGGGGCAGCUGCGUGGCUCAUUGAUAGACAGAGCCAGGCCCAGAGAUGGGAGGUCCUAGGCUCCAACCUGGGCCCAGAUACGUUACUUGUGUGACCCCACACAAGUCAUGGAACUCCAAUUGCCUGGUCCUUCCUGCUCUUCUGCCUUCGGGUCAGUACAUAGUAUUGACCCAAAGGCAGAAGUGAAGGCUCCUUCCACAACUGAGUGAGAUGGUCUAAUGGCCAUAACGCCGAGGCAGGCAAAGGCAAGGCCUACGAGGGACACCCCACCUCCCAAGAGUGGCUGUGACACUGGUUGGGUUUUAUUUAUUAAGUCCAGCUCUAGAGCUAUUCAGACCCACGUAAGAGUCAUAUUUUGUGUAAAAUCUCAAAGCUAGGAAGGACGUGACUUGUAAUGCAUGAACUAAUGGCCCCGUCUGAUUUCAGGGCCUUCUCCAGAAGCAGAAAGAGCUGGAAACUCAUCUCAUCCCCUUAGUUCCAAGUCAAGAGGAGUUUGAUUCUCCGUUCUAACAUCCACAAGAGAGACGACAGCGAGCCAAGCUCUAGCGGAUUACGGCUCUCGGCUCUUUAGCUUAACAGCAUUACAUUCAUGAAAUUAUAAAAUAAUGGAUUGAUUCAGCAGCCAUGUUUCUAUACUUGAAAUUGUUCAGGUUACUUUAUUGGAAAAUGACCUAUUAAAAACUUUGCAGAAUGUAAAUAUAUUUCUUCAAAGAAUAAAAUGGUAAAUAAAACACUUUUGUAAAAAAUUCAGCAAUUCUCAUUCAUUUAUGCUCUAAUCCACCCAGUUAUAAAUAAGUUUUACAAAAGAUAAGAUUCUAUUUACACUUACCUUAAUGUGGUCUGGAGUUCGGUGGUUUAUUACAAAAUACUUCACAACAAUCUCUAUGGAAGACAUGCAUUUUACAUAUUUGAUUACAUGAAGGUGGAUGCCAUUGUCCCCGAGUCUGGUAGGAGGAGAGCCUAUGUGACCACAACUCCAUUUAAUUACCAAAAUUUGGCCAAAAAGAAACACAGAAAUGGGUGCAGCUCAAAAAAAAAAAAAAAAAAAGGGUAGAAUCAUUCCUUCUCU